RNAcentral lists this ribosomal RNA (460 nucleotides) under uncultured bacterium. Its description in RNAcentral is "partial 16S ribosomal RNA". It matches the Rfam family "Bacterial small subunit ribosomal RNA", at positions 338 to 795 of the family's 1533-position model. The record is from RNAcentral.
CCUACGGGAGGCAGCAGUGAGGAAUAUUGGGCAAUGGACGAGAGUCUGAACCAGCCAAGUAGCGUGAAGGAUGACUGCCCUAUGGGUUGUAAACUUCUUUUAUAUGGGAAUAAAAUGUUCCACGUGUGGGAUUUUGUAUGUACCAUAUGAAUAAGGAUCGGCUAACUCCGUGCCAGCAGCCGCGGUAAUACGGAGGAUCCGAGCGUUAUCCGGAUUUAUUGGGUUUAAAGGGAGCGUAGGUGGAUUGUUAAGUCAGUUGUGAAAGUUUGGGGCUCAACCGUAAAAUUGCAGUUGAAACUGGCAGUCUUGAGUACAGUAGAGGUGGGCGGAAUUCGUGGUGUAGCGGUGAAAUGCUUAGAUAUCACGAAGAACUCCGAUUGCGAAGGCAGUUCACUGGACUGCAACUGACACUGAGGCUCGAAAGUGUGGGUAUCAAACAGGAUUAGAUACCCUUGUAGUC